This 429-nucleotide long non-coding RNA is filed under the name Drosophila guanche. Lineage: Eukaryota; Metazoa; Arthropoda; Insecta; Diptera; Drosophilidae. The record is from RNAcentral.
GGAAAGGUUUCCUUCUGUGCGUUACAUACAUCCACUUUGUACACAUAUACAAUAUAUCCUAUUUACUCUUCGAGUACCGGUUAUAAAAACAUAUCGGUUAAUUCAUUAAUUUCACUACAGAGGUGAUUCGGGUAAAGAGCACUCAAAACGAGAAGGGACGUUUAAGACACUUCUUACGCGUCACAACUUUUAUACCCGGCAUUCAGUAUUACCUACAUGUGCACCUUAUCCGUUAUUUGUCAAAUUUUACAUUUUUUUUUCAUCUGUCAUCUACAUCUAAAACACUUCUCACACCAACACGCUCCUUUAGCUCGCCGCCCUUCCCCUAGACCCACACACUGCAGACUCGCGGCAGAGGCAGAGGCAGCGCCCGCACACAAAAAAAACAAAUAUAAGCUGUGGGACGGGGUGGGUUAAAAGUCGGUAGAG